Peromyscus californicus insignis is the source of this 510-nucleotide long non-coding RNA. RefSeq lists it as uncharacterized. The transcript has 4 exons. The record is from RefSeq and is a predicted model, not a curated record. Lineage: Eukaryota; Metazoa; Chordata; Mammalia; Rodentia; Cricetidae.
GUUCUCUCAAGCUGUGGCUGGUCAUUCAUCUCCUUUGAGUUCCUGUGGCAUGCUUUAAGAAUUUGAAUCAAAUAACAUAUUGCUUUCCUCUGCUGGGCAUGAGUCCUGACCUUACAAGCCGUCAUCACAUGUCCUUAUCAUGAAAUGCUCUGAGGAAGUUGAGGAAGUUCACUCUAAUAACCCAGAUUGUGAAUCUGUAACAGCAAAACUCAUACAAUCAACUGAACGGAACUAAAGGUUUAUUUGAGUGCUCCAAGUUCUCUCACUCUCUGUGCAGUGUCUGUCUGUGGGUUUCUGCAUUUUUUUCCAUCUCCUGCAGGAAGAAGCUUCUCUGAUGAUGGAAGUCCCUACAAAAACUUCACUUACUCUUCCUGAGACUUAGAGGCCGGCCCCCAGCUCCCAUCUUGCUCCGGACUUCCCUUUUGGAAAACUGGUGAGUGCCCUUCCUUGCCCCAGACCCCAUCCCUGGGCACCAGCCACUCCAGGGAAGACCUGCCCAACUUGGCCCCA